GAUGAACGCUAGCGGCAGGCCUAAUACAUGCAAGUCGAACGGGUGGUCGCAAGACCACUAGUGGCGCACGGGUGCGUAACGCGUAACCAACCUGCCCCGAUCUGGGGGAUAGCCCGCCGAAAGGCGGAUUAAUACCUCAUAUACCCGCAGCCUGGCAUCAGGCAACGGGGAAAGAUUUAUUGGAUCGGGAUGGGGUUGCGUGACAUUAGCUAGUUGGCGUGGUAAGGGCCCACCAAGGCGACGAUGUCUAGGGGAACUGAGAGGGUGAUCCCCCACACUGGCACUGAGAUCAGGGUCAGACUGCAACGGGCGGCAGCAGUAGGGAAUAUUGGGGAAUGGGCGAGAGCCUGACCUAGCCCUGCCGCGUGGAGGAUGAACGCCUUCUGGGUUGUAAACGGCCUUUAUCAGGGCCGAAAAAGAAAUUGCGAGGUACACUGACGGUACCUGAGGAAUAAGCACCGGCUAACUACGUG
Molecule: ribosomal RNA, 473 nt
Filed under: uncultured bacterium
Lineage: Bacteria
Description: partial 16S ribosomal RNA
Rfam family: Bacterial small subunit ribosomal RNA
Source: RNAcentral